UACGGGGGGGGCUAGCGUUGUUCGGAAUUAUUGGGCGUAAAGCGCGCGCAGGCGGCUUCUUAAGUCUGAUGUGAAAGCCCCCGGCUCAACCGGGGAGGGUCAUUGGAAACUGGGAAACUUGAGUGCAGAAGAGGAAAGUGGAAUUCCAAGUGUAGCGGUGAAAUGCGUAGAUAUCUGGAGGAACACCGGUGGCGAAGGCGGCGUUCUGGACUGCAACUGACACUGAGAGACGAAAGCCAGGGGAGCAAACGGG
This 253-nucleotide ribosomal RNA is filed under the name uncultured bacterium. RNAcentral's name for it is "partial 16S ribosomal RNA". It matches the Rfam family "Bacterial small subunit ribosomal RNA", at positions 524 to 776 of the family's 1533-position model. The record is from RNAcentral.